CCUACGGGAGGCAGCAGUGGGGAAUAUUGGACAAUGGGCGAAAGCCUGAUCCAGCCAUGCCGCGUGUGUGAAGAAGGCCUUCGGGUUGUAAAGCACUUUCAGUGGGGAAGAAAGCCUUGGGGCUAAUACCCUCGAGGAAGGACAUCACCCACAGAAGAAGCACCGGCUAACUCCGUGCCAGCAGCCGCGGUAAUACGGAGGGUGCGAGCGUUAAUCGGAAUUACUGGGCGUAAAGCGCGCGUAGGCGGUCUGAUAAGCCGGUUGUGAAAGCCCCGGGCUCAACCUGGGAACGGCAUCCGGAACUGUCAGGCUAGAGUGCAGGAGAGGAAGGUAGAAUUCCCGGUGUAGCGGUGAAAUGCGUAGAGAUCGGGAGGAAUACCAGUGGCGAAGGCGGCCUUCUGGACUGACACUGACGCUGAGGUGCGAAAGCGUGGGUUGCAAACAGGAUUAGAUACCCGAGUAGUC
This 465-nucleotide ribosomal RNA is filed under the name Vreelandella stevensii. RNAcentral's name for it is "partial 16S ribosomal RNA". It matches the Rfam family "Bacterial small subunit ribosomal RNA", at positions 338 to 795 of the family's 1533-position model. Lineage: Bacteria; Pseudomonadati; Pseudomonadota; Gammaproteobacteria; Oceanospirillales; Halomonadaceae. The record is from RNAcentral.